RNAcentral lists this ribosomal RNA (325 nucleotides) under uncultured eukaryote. Its description in RNAcentral is "partial 18S ribosomal RNA". It matches the Rfam family "Eukaryotic small subunit ribosomal RNA", at positions 1470 to 1796 of the family's 1831-position model. The record is from RNAcentral.
CCCUUAGAUGUUCUGGGCUGCACGCGCGCUACACUGAUGCGCUCAACGAGUUUUAACCUUGCCUGGAAAGGUUGGGUAAUCUUUUUAAAACGCAUCGUGAUGGGGAUAGAUUAUUGCAAUUAUUAAUCUUCAACGAGGAAUUCCUAGUAAGCGCGAGUCAUCAGCUCGUGCUGAUUACGUCCCUGCCCUUUGUACACACCGCCCGUCGCUCCUACCGAUUGAGUGUUGCGGUGAAUAAUUCGGACUGCAGCAGUGUUUGGAUCCCGAACGUUGCAGCGGAAAGUUUAGUGAACCUUAACACUUAGAGGAAGGAGAAGUCGUAACA